GACGAACGCUGGCGGCGUGCUUAACACAUGCAAGUCGAACGGAAAGGCCCUGCUUUUGUGGGGUGCUCGAGUGGCGAACGGGUGAGUAACACGUGAGUAACCUGCCCUUGACUUUGGGAUAACUUCAGGAAACUGGGGCUAAUACCGGAUAGGAGCUCCUGCUGCAUGGGGGGGGUUGGAAAGUUUCGGCGGUGGGGGAUGGACUCGCGGCUUAUCAGCUUGUUGGUGGGGUAGUGGCUUACCAAGGCUUUGACGGGUAGCCGGCCUGAGAGGGUGACCGGCCUCAUUGGGCCUGAGGUACGGCGCAGACUCCUACGGGAGGCAGCGGUGGGGAGUAUUGCACAAUGAGCGGAAGCCUGAUGCGGCAACGCCGCGUGCGGGAUGACGGCCUUCGGGUUGUAAACCGCUUUCGCCUGUGACGAAGCGUGAGUGACGGUAAUGGGUAAAGAAGCACCGGCUAACUACGUG
Molecule: ribosomal RNA, 468 nt
Filed under: uncultured bacterium
Lineage: Bacteria
Description: partial 16S ribosomal RNA
Rfam family: Bacterial small subunit ribosomal RNA
Source: RNAcentral